This 425-nucleotide long non-coding RNA is filed under the name Homo sapiens (human). Its description in RNAcentral is "HSALNT0194743". Lineage: Eukaryota; Metazoa; Chordata; Mammalia; Primates; Hominidae. The record is from RNAcentral.
UUUUCUUUUUUUUUUUUGAGACAGGGUCUCACUCUGUCGCCUAGGCUAAGUGCAGUGGUACAAUCUCGGCUCACUGCAGCCUCGACCUCCCAGACUCAAGCGAUUCUCCCACCUCAGCUUCCUGAGCAGCUGGGACCACAGGCCCGUGCCACCACGCUUGGCUAAUUUUGUACUUUUUUGUGGAGACAAGGUCUCACUAUGUUGCCCAGCCUGGUCUUGAACUCCUGAGCUCAAGUGAUCCUCCAACUUUGGCCUCCCAAAGUGCUGGGAUUAUAGGUGUUAGCCACCACACCUGGCCCCAACUAACUUUUAAGUUUUAUUUUGGUUUUUAUAUAUACACCCACACAGAGGUGUGUGUGUGUAUACAUAUACACAUAUAUGAAUAGAUAAAAACUUGCAUUUACGUAAUUAUACUGAAAAAUUUG